RNAcentral lists this ribosomal RNA (252 nucleotides) under uncultured bacterium. RNAcentral's name for it is "partial 16S ribosomal RNA". It matches the Rfam family "Bacterial small subunit ribosomal RNA", at positions 524 to 776 of the family's 1533-position model. The record is from RNAcentral.
UACGUAGGGAGCGAGCGUUGUCCGGAAUUACUGGGUGUAAAGGGAGCGUAGGCGGGCGAGAAAGUUGAAUGUUAAAUCUACCGGCUUAACUGGUAGCUGCGUUCAAAACUUCUUGUCUUGAGUGAAGUAGAGGCAGGCGGAAUUCCUAGUGUAGCGGUGAAAUGCGUAGAUAUUAGGAGGAACACCAGUGGCGAAGGCGGCCUGCUGGGCUUUAACUGACGCUGAGGCUCGAAAGCGUGGGGAGCAAACAGG